GUGUGUGUGUGUGUGUGUGUGUGUGUGUGUGUGAGGUGGGUGGUGUGUUAUGUCAUUGGUUUGGGCGACUCGAGACCCCGCCUUGAUGAAGAACAGUGUGUGUGUGUGUGUGUGUGUGUGUGUGUGUGUGUGUGUGUGUGUGUGUGUGAGGUGAAAGCGAGAGUGAGGAAGAGCAGGAGAAGAAGAGCGGAACACAAACACUCGCGCGUUUCCUCCUCCUGUGGCGCGCGCACAUACACGCGGAAUCCGCGGCGGUCGGUCCGGUUACCGGAACCGGUUCGGUUCGGUUUGGAUUUUUCUCCCGAUGAUGAUGAAGUUUCUCGGCGCUGUUUGAAGGUUUGUGAGCUGGACGCAGAUCCUGGAGGAGGAUGAGCUCAUGAACUCGCCGCUGACUGACAUCAGCCAUUAACGAACAGCUGAAGUCGGAGGCCUGAAGGAUUUGUGUCCGAACAACACUGAAUGUGUUCACAGUCUGCGAUGAUCCUCUCGGGGAAUUAUCAGGAGAUCUGAUUGGCUCUGAUCUCAGCUGAGAGUCACACACACACACACACACACACGGAGGCCGGACAGAUGGCGACCCUUCACUCCCUGUGCGGGAACAUAAGAGCGCCUCGCUGCGACAACGAGGACGUGGCCGCUGAACCGUAUCUGUUGAAACACCUCCGUUAACUCCGGCAUAUAGUCAGAUCAAACCGCAGAUGACAGAUGAAGUGAUUGUUGAGGAGUAGAUGAGUUUGUAAUGAGUAUUAAUGAACAGGACCUGAGAGAGAACAGCUCCACCUGAUUCUGCUGUGCCUGUUAUUAAAUGUGAUUUACUCAAGAGGAGAGCUUUACUUUUUAAGUUAUCAAACGCACCUGGAACUGGAACAGAAAACAUGCUUCUUGAAGAAUUUAGGAGUCAGAACAGCAUAAUCUGGCAUCGUAACCAACAAAAAUAUUGUGUAGAAACGAACUUGAUUGAAACCUGCCAUGCAUCCAAAUACACAUACUUCUGUACUACUAUAGAACAGUAUGCGAGUCAAGUAGUUUGAUUUCAUUCAUACUUUUUUAAUGUCAACAAAGUACGUUUCAAACCGAAUGCAGCUCCUACUAUACAGUAUGUGAUUUUGGACGCAGUGAUUCUCUAAAUAUCAGACGCUUAGCAGCAAGAGAGGAGCGAGUCAUGUGAGAGGACGGCAGGGCAGCUGGACUUUGUGUCCUGUUGGAUCGGGAAUGUUUUUGGAAACUGAAGACAAUGAACCAUCUGCACACGGCAGGGAAGCAAAGAGAGCCGGAGCGUUACUGCUGAGAGUCAGUCCGCCAUUGUUAUUAAACGCCUGUUAGACGCAGAGAGAGUGGAGGGGUGGACACACACACACACACACACACACACACACACACACACACUGAGAUGAUCUGCAGCUGUGAUGGGACGGCCAAUGGAUGUCCAAUUUUUUGACUUGUACUCUGAUAAUACCAUUGUUUUUUGUGAAUGCACUGUAGUAAUACUAUCAUUUGUUGAACAUGGUAUGAUGGUAAUAUCUAGUUUUUUUUGGAUGGUAAUGUAAUUUUUUUUUAAUGUAGCAAUAUAAUUAGGGCUGUGCACUAUUCAGGAUUUUGAAAUGUCACCUAUUUGUAUUUACUUUAUAUUAGGGCUGUCAAACGAUUAAUCACAUACAAACUAAAAGUUUAAGUUUGCCUAUU
Molecule: long non-coding RNA, 1683 nt
Organism: Megalobrama amblycephala (Wuchang bream)
Lineage: Eukaryota; Metazoa; Chordata; Actinopteri; Cypriniformes; Xenocyprididae
Exons: 3
Source: RefSeq, a predicted model, not a curated record